This is a small nuclear RNA of Pygocentrus nattereri (red-bellied piranha), 116 nucleotides long. Its record names the gene U5. It matches the Rfam family "U5 spliceosomal RNA". From Rfam's summary of the family: U5 RNA is a component of both types of known spliceosome. The precise function of this molecule is unknown, though it is known that the 5' loop is required for splice site selection and p220 binding, and that both the 3' stem-loop and the Sm site are important for Sm protein binding and cap methylation. The record is from Ensembl. Lineage: Eukaryota; Metazoa; Chordata; Actinopteri; Characiformes; Serrasalmidae.
UAGCUCGGGUUUCUCUUCGUUCAUGCACAAAUCUUUCACCUUUUACCAAAAAUUUUCCAUGGAGGGGAACGUUGACAAGUUCUUCUUAUUUUUGAAGGCGCUGCUAUGGCAGAGCU